UAAUUGAAGAGUUUGAUCAUGGCUCAGAUUGAACGCUGGCGGCAGGCCUAACACAUGCAAGUCGAGCGGUAACAGGGGAAGCUUGCUUCUCGC
RNAcentral lists this ribosomal RNA (93 nucleotides) under Providencia rettgeri. Its description in RNAcentral is "partial 16S ribosomal RNA". It matches the Rfam family "Bacterial small subunit ribosomal RNA", at positions 1 to 90 of the family's 1533-position model. The record is from RNAcentral. RNAcentral also lists the same sequence under 1 other name. Lineage: Bacteria; Pseudomonadati; Pseudomonadota; Gammaproteobacteria; Enterobacterales; Morganellaceae.